AUAAAAAUCGCAUUUUAUCUGUAUUAGUAGAUCUUCACCAAACUCUUAAGCAAUACAAUAUUCCCUCUAAUGCUUUACACACGUGUGUGCUGAAAAGCUACCAUUCUUUCAUUUGCUUUGAAGACUGCAUUAAACCUUAAGGGGUUUUUUGUUUGUUUGGUUGGUUGGGGUUUGUUUUGUUUUGUUUUGUUUUUUGUAGAAACAGCAAUGCAGCUGAUUCUGAACUCACAAGUACUUUUAAAACCCAGUCCUUUCCUCCCCACAUUCCCAUGCCUGUGUCAACACCUCGAUUCUUCCUGGGGAACACUUGUUUGAAUCUUGUCACAAGGGUGUUUCAUGGCAGUGGAGCUGAGUUUGUCCUCUCUAGAGUGAAUGGCAAUUCAAGUAUCCCUAUUAGUGGGCAGAGUACAAGUCUUACAUAGCCUGUACUUCAAACAAAUGGGAAUGACUCCUAAGCAACUCGAUUCUCCCUCACAGGAUGGUAUUCGGAGAUGGGUUACCUGCUCAGAUCUGACCUAGAGUGGAAGACUUGGGUCAGUCCUCACCAAUGUGUCUGUUAUUCAGCUGUCUCAGUAUUAAAUUGUGAAUGAAAACCCAGUGUUUGGGCUCAUACAGGAACCUUGGAGAAGUGGACCCCUCUGUGUGAGAAGCCUGCAGUCAGUCGGAGGAAGGACGCUUUCCACCACCUGUUCCGUCCAGGCAGUUCUAAAACCACCACUAGACAUGUUCUGUGGACAUUCGGGAUUGGGCUUUGAUCAGUCAUCAGUCAAAUGGGUCACUCUGAAGGAAAGGUUUGGUGGUUGGCAUUAUACCACUGAUACAAAGUAUUAGCAAAGUAUAGUUCAAAUUAAGUGACAUGACCAAGAGCUUUUCUCUUAAAAAAGAUGGAUUUUAUUGUAAAUAGUUUCUCAAAAUAUUUUUAACUGGAUCAUGAGCAUGGGGAGAGAAAGUUUCUCAGCUGCUAUGAAUUUCCCCACUGUUUACUUCUCUCAUUUACAGUGGUAUUGCAUAAGAUUACAAAAUGUUAGGUUUUAUUUGUAUCUAUUACCCAAACCAUUAAAUUGUCUUUAAUUUCAUCAUUGUCUUGGAAGGCCAGUGCAUGAAGAGCUGAUGGGGGAAGCCCCUCUAGCCACUCAGCGCUCUAGCCCAGGAUUAAGACCAUCCCAUCGAGUAGUGUGUCAAGUCCAGUCUUUGUAAACUCUCUCAGACCAAACGUUGUUGAAGUGGACUAAUCCGUGUAAUCGGUCCUGUAAGUGGACGGACAAACAGCUGCCAGCAGCUGCUUUUAAAAGGUCACUAUGAGUACUACAUAGCACAGUAUUAAUUUAUAGCAGGAAUCAUAUCUUGUAAAAUGUAUAUAAAACACUUUUAUGGUGCAAUCAUUUGUCAAAUUUUGUCUGUUACGUUGUUCUUAGAGUGUACAUUCUUCUCAUGCCUAAGAAUAUCACUGUAAAAUCUGCUGAAAACUAUUUUUAGGUUUUAUUUGCACAAGACUGAACUAGUUUGAGUGUUUAGGAAGCUCCUAUCGAACAAGCCUAAACAUCUGUAUAGAUAAAAAUCUUCAAUUCAUUAAAAGCAACCAUUAGU
This 1587-nucleotide long non-coding RNA is filed under the name Mus musculus (house mouse). RNAcentral's name for it is "long non-coding RNA chr7:120731887-120733474". Lineage: Eukaryota; Metazoa; Chordata; Mammalia; Rodentia; Muridae. The record is from RNAcentral.